RNAcentral lists this unclassified non-coding RNA (287 nucleotides) under Chaetomiaceae sp. RNAcentral describes it as "partial contains 5.8S ribosomal RNA, internal transcribed spacer 2, and large subunit ribosomal RNA". The stretch from base 1 to 71 matches the Rfam family "5.8S ribosomal RNA", at positions 84 to 154 of the family's 154-position model. Lineage: Eukaryota; Fungi; Ascomycota; Sordariomycetes; Sordariales; Chaetomiaceae. The record is from RNAcentral.
GUGAAUCAUCGAAUCUUUGAACGCACAUUGCGCCCGCCAGUAUUCUGGCGGGCAUGCCUGUUCGAGCGUCAUUUCAACCAUCAAGCCCCCGGGCUUGUGUUGGGGACCUGCGGCUGCCGCAGGCCCUGAAAACCAGUGGCGGGCUCGCUAGUCACUCCGAGCGUAGUAGUUACAUCUCGCUCAGGGCGUGCUGCGGGUUCCGGCCGUUAAAAGCCUUAUUUACCCAAGGUUGACCUCGGAUCAGGUAGGAAGACCCGCUGAACUUAAGCAUAUCAAUAAGCGGAGGA